UACGUAGGGAGCGAGCGUUGUCCGGAAUUACUGGGUGUAAAGGGAGUGUAGGCGGGAAGAUAAGUUGGAUGUGAAAACUAUCGGCUCAACCGAUAGACUGCAUUCAAAACUAUUUUUCUUGAGUGAAGUAGAGGCAGGCGGAAUUCCUAGUGUAGCGGUGAAAUGCGUAGAUAUUAGGAGGAACACCAGUGGCGAAGGCGGCCUGCUGGGCUUUUACUGACGCUGAGGCUCGAAAGUGUGGGUAGCAAAC
Molecule: ribosomal RNA, 250 nt
Filed under: uncultured bacterium
Lineage: Bacteria
Description: partial 16S ribosomal RNA
Rfam family: Bacterial small subunit ribosomal RNA
Source: RNAcentral